Molecule: long non-coding RNA, 2839 nt
Organism: Lolium perenne
Lineage: Eukaryota; Viridiplantae; Streptophyta; Magnoliopsida; Poales; Poaceae
Source: RefSeq, a predicted model, not a curated record
GCGGCACGACGGUACAGGACACCGAACAAAACCGAUGGGAGCAGCUUGCGCAGGCGGACGAGGGAACCCGAGAGCGAUGACGCAGACGGACCAGUACGGAGACGGGCCUGGCGUUGGUCGUGCAGCCGGAAUCUGACGGCAAGCGGCGGCACGACGACCGCGAGCGCUUCCCCCACGUCGACCAGGCCUUCUCCUCCACCGGAGCCCGAGAGAGAGCUGACGGUACCGCCUUCACAUCCACCAGCACUCCAGCAGCCGUGGUUGGGUGUCUGCUUCUCUUUCCCCGCUGCUCACCUCAUCCCCUUCACAUAAGAUUUUGCUCGGCUUUAUUCUCAAAUAAUGCUGAGCUUACCUGGCGACAGGGGAGGGGAUUGGAGGAGGGAGGAGGGCGAAACCAAUCAACCAUCACGACUCCCAGAUCCACUCCACCGCGCCGCGCUUAUCUAUCGCAGUAGAGAAGGAGUGGUACGGCGAUGCGCAAGAGCUCGCUGCAGCACCAGCAGUUCCGCGCCUGCGCCAAGACCCGCGUCGAUGUUCGAGGACCUCCAGGGCAUGGUCUCCGGUCUCCGGCCUCCGGUACGAUCGGAAGGAAGCCCAGUUACAGCGACACCAGCGUCCCCGAGGCCCAGCUCCAGAUGCUCAAUAACUGGUGCGCUGUGCUUAGCUUCUCCUGAUCCGCCUCCUCCCUUCAGGCUUCAGGUUCAAUUCCCUCUCCGUUUCACUUCUUCCCCACGGAAAAAAAAAACUCAAUUAUUCUCGCACGGAGCAGCUACUACCGCUGCCCUGAACACAGCCAAACAAAUGAGAUGUGCAAGGUUCAGUACGGUCAACGUCAGCUAGCUAAUACUCUUCUAAUGUGAUUGAUAACAAAAUCCCUGCCCUUCCUGAAUAAAGGCUUUCACUUCUUUGGCGAGGGUUGCGUAGCAUGAUCUGUUGCAUUCUGACAUCCGAAUUAUUUUCUCUGCAUUGCCAUUGGAUAAAACCUUCGUCCGGUGACUCUGUUUUCAGUUCGCCGCUUCUGCACGCCGAAGUGUGAAGUGCCGCCGAUGAGCUGCAAGGUCAUGUCUGGCAACAGCUGAGCGUGUGACCUCUAAAUGUUUCUUUAUAAUGUUUGUGCAGAUUGAUUAAACCAUGGUAAACCGAUUCCCUUUCUAAGUUAUUAUGCAUAGUACUUUCUUUUUCAACAUACAAAUUAAUAUAUAUUUUUUUUUUGUUUUCAAGUGUGUAGCUGAUAAUUUUGUGCACCUAUGUAUUUGAAGUGUGCAAGGUAAUUUGUGUUGUUUACUUUGAUAAUUUGUAUUCAUAUAUAAGUCGCGGGUAAAAAGCAGGAUACACCACAAAUGUCGUUUUGUCUAUUGUUUGCUAACUGAAUCUUCAUCUUAUCUUCUUAACUGAAAACAUGCUUUUAAAAUCUUAUUGAGGCAGUAUUAACUUCGAGCAUCAUAUGCAUCAAAUCUGUGGUGAUAAUAAAUGAAAAAUACCUGCUAACUAUCAUUCACCCUUUGACCAGACCCUUAUGUACAUUGUGCUUACUUAUCAUGUUCUAUAUUAAUUUUUGAAAGAGCAUGGCUGAGAGAUGGUUUACAUGCAGAUACUAGAAUGCAGAUCUGUGGUUGAGACCACUUUCCAACCAAAUGAUUAGGUUUACUGCUUUCAAACCUCUUCAACUUCCUUUGGAUUGACACUUCUUUUCCUUUUACUAUAGGGAUUGCUAAUGAAGAACUACACAAUGGUGGUUCCACUGGUUUUUUUCUUUACUGUGUCUUAGAUGUGAAAAUUAGGAGACUCAUCAUAUUUCUGAUAUUGCAGCUAUUUAGUUACAUUCAGAUUUGGUUUGUACAUAACUAAGUACUAUGUUCAAAUCAGACUAAAGAACAAAAAAGGUUGUGAUAGGAGUUCACUAAUGACUUGCCAUAUGAUAAGAUACUGCAAAUGAAUGAUUAAUUUAGGUUUCUUUUAUUUUUCUUUUGCUCCUAUCAUAUAUAUAAGUUGUUCUGACUUGUGAGUUUUUCUCUACCGCAGGUAUGGUACUAUAUGUGUGAUAGAGAAAUUUAUAUUAGUUCACAUAUGAAGAAAUGCUCGAUUGGGCCAAUCUCUUUUAUGAUGAAAAUCUGCUAGGUCAUGAUGUAUACGUCCUUAUCUACUAUGGUGUUCUUGAAGAUAAAGUUUGUGAUCCGAGGCUGCAAGCUGGCCAAUUUUCUGGAAAACUGAUCAUUUGAUAUAUUUAGAUACCUUGCCAGGCACAAGUGUUGUGUACAGGAGGUUAAAAUCAAAGGAGACUGCUAUCGAGAAGAGUUUGUAGAUCAGGAAUAUGUCUCUUCUUGAACAAGUGCCUCUCAACAGCGCAGCUUGCAGUUGAAACAUGACAAUCCUUCUGUUUCGCCUCCAAACUUGGCUGCCCCGAGUGCCCUUUGCCAAUAUAUGGCACCACAAUAAACAGGCAGCGGUCUGCUGGAACUGGUAGCUUGGACAGCCAUUGUUCUCCAAUAUCUGGUACUUCACAUAGACCUGCGUACCUGAGCCAUCUCUACCGCAGGAGCAGCAAGGUCGAUGCCUUCUUUCAGAGCACGAAGUUGAGCUUUAUCAUCGUUCAUGCAAUUGGCAAAGGUGCAGCCGAGAAUAUCACACCGCAGUCUGAAUUUGUAGCCACUGCACCGACUCUGGCGAGGCUGGCUUCUCCAGUUGCUACAGAAAAGGAGGAUAAGGAAGAUCUGUAAUACUUGAUCAAGAUGAUGUAACUAUAUACAAGAGAACAUUCCUAUCAGCUAUCACUUCUAAGAGAUUGCGGUCCAUUUUUUUUUUUUUUUUGAAUGAGAAGUUCUAUAGUUUGGUCUAACAU